RNAcentral lists this ribosomal RNA (253 nucleotides) under uncultured bacterium. Its description in RNAcentral is "partial 16S ribosomal RNA". It matches the Rfam family "Bacterial small subunit ribosomal RNA", at positions 524 to 776 of the family's 1533-position model. The record is from RNAcentral.
GACAGAGGGUGCAAACGUUGUUCGGAAUUACUGGGCGUAAAGCGAGUGUAGGCGGUCUGAAAAGUCGGGUGUGAAAGCCCCGGGCUCAACCCGGGAAGUGCACUCGAAACUGCCAGGCUAGAGUAUCGGAGAGGUUGGUGGAAUUCUCGGUGUAGAGGUGAAAUUCGUAGAUAUCGAGAGGAACACCGGCGGCGAAGGCGGCCAACUGGACGAAUACUGACGCUGAGACUCGAAAGCGUGGGGAGCAAACAGG